AACGGGGUACUGUAAGUGGUAGAGUAGCCUUGUUGCUACGAUCCACUGAGGUUAAGCCCUUGUUCUAAAGAUUUGUUCAACUUUGUUGGACUUUCUCUUUCUUUUCUUUUUACAUGCUGAAUGCUUGAGGGCCGGGAUCGUCUUCUCUGUGCACUCGCGACAGCAUGUUAACAUUGCCUUGAACCCUGUUAUAAGGCUUAGAAGGAACCUGGUUAGCAAACUGCUGACUUGGAACGUUCUUAGUCUUGUACUUGGUAUCGGUGCUUUGGCCGAGAUAACUUAUAAGGUAUAGGCAGAAAGCUUGAAAGCGCAAGUUAGUGAUUGUACUAAUGGACCGUUAAUGAGCUUGAGUGCCUGCCCUUAAGCAUGCCAUGUUGAAAUGCCCUUAGGAGCCAAGCGAACGAAGCUAAGGUUACCUUUUUAACUGCGCUAAGUGUUUACUUGGCUUUCAAAGGGUUAGGUUCAAAUUUUGAACGGCAACUGGCUUCGAAAUGAAGGGUUUGCUAAGUAAACCCUUCGUUAAGAGCGGCGUGCAACGAUUUUGGCAGCGGUAGGUCGAGUUUUCAUUGACUUGACCUGUUAUGCAGGUCGGUAACAAAACGCAAUAACAUGCAUACUUGUUAUCCACG
Molecule: unclassified non-coding RNA, 629 nt
Filed under: Desarmillaria tabescens
Lineage: Eukaryota; Fungi; Basidiomycota; Agaricomycetes; Agaricales; Physalacriaceae
Description: partial contains large subunit ribosomal RNA and intergenic spacer 1
Rfam family: Eukaryotic large subunit ribosomal RNA (bases 1-76)
Source: RNAcentral